GUCUAUGGCCAUGCCACCCUGAACACACCCAACCCCAUCUGAUCUCGGAAGCUAAGCAAGGUUGGGCCUGGUUAGUACUUGGAUGGGAGACCAUCUAGGAAGACCAGGUGCUGUAGGCG
This 119-nucleotide ribosomal RNA is filed under the name Pteropus alecto (black flying fox). The record is from RNAcentral. Lineage: Eukaryota; Metazoa; Chordata; Mammalia; Chiroptera; Pteropodidae.